CCUUCAGGUCUGACACUAACCCCGAGAAAGUCGGGGCUAAUAGCAGAUGAUGCAGCGGCUUGACAUCAAGACAGUUUGUUAAAGCUUCGGCGCCUGAAGAUGAGCCUGCGUCUGAUUAGCUAGUUGGCGGAGUAAUGGCCCACAAGGCUACGAUCAGUAACUGGUCUGAGAGGAUGAUCAGUCACACUGGAACUGAGACACGGUCCAGACUCCUACGGGAGGCAGCAGUAAGGAAUAUUGCUCAAUGGGAGAAUCCUGAAGCAGCAACGCCGCGUGAGGGAUGAAGGGCUUUGCUCGUAAACCUCUGUAGUGAGGGAAAAAUUUCCACUCUGUGGAAUAUGAUGGUACCUCAAAAGUAAGCCCCGGCUAACUACGUG
This 377-nucleotide ribosomal RNA is filed under the name uncultured bacterium. RNAcentral's name for it is "bacterial SSU rRNA". It matches the Rfam family "Bacterial small subunit ribosomal RNA", at positions 129 to 507 of the family's 1533-position model. The record is from RNAcentral.